GUGCUGAUGAAGAAGACAUGAAGAUGAUACAGAACAGCAGAGAGGAGAAAGUGAGCGGGAAAGUAAUAGGAAACAUUGCCAGGAGGCACAUGUGUGCUAAUCAAGGUGGUCUGCCAUAACAGGAGAGAGCUAGCCAUUAACAUUCCCAUUUGCAUUACACAUGGCUACAUCUUGGAGAUAAGAUCUUACAACAGCAUCUAGCAACAGGUGCUAACUGGACCAUGCUAAGCAGCCAAAUCUUGGUGUUUACCUCUGCACAACGGCUCUAACAUGCAGAAGAGGACUGCACUGAGGUAAAUGUGCAAUUUGGCAUUUUCUCAGCCCGCCAGUAUCUGCGACUAAGUGGCUCAUUCCCUGUUGACUAAGACAAGUGAAGGUCAGAGUUUCCAGAUGGGCUUUUCUCAAAAAGAAUCAGUUGCAAGUUCAUCUGAUACCUUUUCCAUCAAACCUACAGGAGACAUUUGGCUCUUUGCAAACUGAUACAAGAGAACAUUUCUAGCUGUACUUUCUGAGCAGUAGUUACUAUGACAAUGGCGAUAGUUUCUAUGACAAUCAAGCGGACUUGAGUGUUAAGGCAAUGACUGUUUUGUUAU
This is a long non-coding RNA of Sinocyclocheilus anshuiensis, 593 nucleotides long. RefSeq lists it as uncharacterized. The record is from RefSeq and is a predicted model, not a curated record. NCBI's taxonomy places the organism in Eukaryota, Metazoa, Chordata, Actinopteri, Cypriniformes, Cyprinidae. The transcript has 4 exons.